Pongo abelii (Sumatran orangutan) is the source of this 148-nucleotide unclassified non-coding RNA. It matches the Rfam family "Metazoan signal recognition particle RNA". From Rfam's summary of the family: The signal recognition particle (SRP) is a universally conserved ribonucleoprotein. It is involved in the co-translational targeting of proteins to membranes. NCBI's taxonomy places the organism in Eukaryota, Metazoa, Chordata, Mammalia, Primates, Hominidae. The record is from Ensembl.
GCCGGGCAUGGUGGCGCGUGCCUGUAAUCCCAGCUACUUGGGAGGCUGAGGCAGAAGAAUCACUUGAACCUGGGAGGCGGAGGUUGCAGUGAGCCGAGAUCACACCACUGCACUCCAGCCUGGGUGACAGAGUGAGACUCCAUCUCAA